UACAGAGGGGGCAAGCGUUGUUCGGAAUUACUGGGCGUAAAGGGCGCGUAGGCGGCCUUCUAAGUCGAACGUGAAAUCCCCGGGCUCAACCCGGGAACUGCGUCCGAUACUGGAAGGCUUGAAUUCGGGAGAGGGAUGCGGAAUUCCAGGUGUAGCGGUGAAAUGCGUAGAUAUCUGGAGGAACACCGGUGGCGAAGGCGGCAUCCUGGACCGGCAUUGACGCUGAGGCGCGAAAGCCAGGGGAGCAAGCGGG
RNAcentral lists this ribosomal RNA (253 nucleotides) under uncultured bacterium. Its description in RNAcentral is "partial 16S ribosomal RNA". It matches the Rfam family "Bacterial small subunit ribosomal RNA", at positions 524 to 776 of the family's 1533-position model. The record is from RNAcentral.